AAGACCUCACAAUGGUUUGAUGACUAUGUGCAGGAUGCUGAUUUGAGCCUCUUCCAAUUCUCUAAUAACCUCACUGGAGGUUAACCAGGCAGGGCUCAAUAUACCUCUUCGCCAGUGGCAUAGUUUCUGAUUGCGUGUGGCAUCACC
Molecule: long non-coding RNA, 147 nt
Filed under: Aotus nancymaae (Ma's night monkey)
Lineage: Eukaryota; Metazoa; Chordata; Mammalia; Primates; Aotidae
Description: FTX transcript, XIST regulator conserved region 4 (ENSANAG00000014071.1)
Rfam family: FTX transcript, XIST regulator conserved region 4
Source: RNAcentral